Molecule: ribosomal RNA, 251 nt
Filed under: uncultured bacterium
Lineage: Bacteria
Description: partial 16S ribosomal RNA
Rfam family: Bacterial small subunit ribosomal RNA
Source: RNAcentral
CGUAGGGUGCAAGCGUUAAUCGGAAUUACUGGGCGUAAAGCGUGCGCAGGCGGUGAUGUAAGACAGGUGUGAAAUCCCCGGGCUUAACCUGGGAACUGCAUUUGUGACUGCAUCGCUGGAGUGCGGCAGAGGGGGAUGGAAUUCCGCGUGUAGCAGUGAAAUGCGUAGAUAUGCGGAGGAACACCGAUGGCGAAGGCAAUCCCCUGGGCCUGCACUGACGCUCAUGCACGAAAGCGUGGGGAGCAAACAGG